GGGCUUGUAGCUUAGUAUGGUGGAGCGAGCGGCUCAUAACCGCCCGGUCGUCGGUUCAAAUCCGGCCAGGCCCA
RNAcentral lists this transfer RNA (74 nucleotides) under Candidatus Methanomethylophilaceae archaeon. Its description in RNAcentral is "tRNA-Ile". It matches the Rfam family "tRNA". From Rfam's summary of the family: Transfer RNA (tRNA) molecules are approximately 80 nucleotides in length. Their secondary structure includes four short double-helical elements and three loops (D, anti-codon, and T loops). Further hydrogen bonds mediate the characteristic L-shaped molecular structure. tRNAs have two regions of fundamental functional importance: the anti-codon, which is responsible for specific mRNA codon recognition, and the 3' end, to which the tRNAs corresponding amino acid is attached (by aminoacyl-tRNA synthetases). tRNAs cope with the degeneracy of the genetic code in two manners: having more than one tRNA (with a specific anti-codon) for a particular amino acid; and 'wobble' base-pairing, i.e. permitting non-standard base-pairing at the 3rd anti-codon position. The record is from RNAcentral. Lineage: Archaea; Methanobacteriati; Thermoplasmatota; Thermoplasmata; Methanomassiliicoccales; Methanomethylophilaceae. RNAcentral also lists the same sequence under 1 other name.